This 660-nucleotide ribosomal RNA is filed under the name uncultured bacterium. RNAcentral's name for it is "bacterial SSU rRNA". It matches the Rfam family "Bacterial small subunit ribosomal RNA", at positions 8 to 665 of the family's 1533-position model. The record is from RNAcentral.
AGGGUUUGAUCCUGGCUCAGGACGAACGCUGGCGGCGGGCUUAACACAUGCAAGUCGAACGAGAAAGGGUCCUUCGGGACCUGAGUACAGUGGCGCACGGGUGAGUAACGCGUAGACAACCUACCCCCAGGUGGGGAAUAACUACGGGAAACCGUAGCUAAUACCGCAUAAUGUCAGAUGGCCGCAUGGCCGCCUGAUCAAAGCUUUAUGCGCCCGGGGAUGGGUCUGCGUUGGAUUAGCUAGUUGGUGAGGUAAUGGCUCACCAAGGCGACGAUCCAUAGCGGGUCUGAGAGGAUGAUCCGCCACACUGGCACUGAGACACGGGCCAGACUCCUACGGGAGGCAGCAGUGAGGAAUAUUGCGCAAUGGAGGCAACUCUGACGCAGCCACGCCGCGUGCAGGAAGACACCCCUCAGGGGCGUAAACUGCUUUUAUACGGGAAGAAUGCCCUGGUCGCCAGGGAGUGACGGUACCGUAUGAAUAAGGACCGGCUAACUCCGUGCCAGCAGCCGCGGUAAUACGGAGGGUCCAAGCGUUGUCCGGAAUCACUGGGUGUAAAGGGUGCGUAGGCGGGCUUGUAAGUCAGGGGUGAAAGCCACCGGCCUAACCGGUGAACUGCCCUUGAUACUGCAAGUCUUGAGUCUCGGAGAGGCUACCGGA